Molecule: ribosomal RNA, 481 nt
Filed under: uncultured bacterium
Lineage: Bacteria
Description: partial 16S ribosomal RNA
Rfam family: Bacterial small subunit ribosomal RNA
Source: RNAcentral
GACGAACGUUGGCGGCGUGCUUAAUACAUGCAAGUCAACUGAAGCAGUGGUAGCAAUAUCGCUGUGGAGGUGGCGCACGGGUGAGUAACACGUAGGUAAUCUGCCUUCAGGUCUGGCAUAACUCCGGGAAACCGGGGCUAAUAGCAGAUGAUGCAGCGGCUCGACAUCGAGACAGUUGUUAAAGCUAUGGCGCCUGAAGAUGAGCCUGCGUCUGAUUAGCUAGUUGGCGGGGUAACGGCCCACCAAGGCAACGAUCAGUAGCUGGUCUGAGAGGAUGAUCAGCCACACUGGAACUGAGACACGGUCCAGACUCCUACGGGAGGCAGCAGUAAGGAAUAUUGCGCAAUGGGAGAAAUCCUGAAGCAGCAACGCCGCGUGAGGGACGAAGGGCUUUUGCUUGUAAACCUCUGUAGUGAGAGAAAAAAAUCCCAAUCUUUGGGACAUGAUGGUAUCUCAAAAGUAAGCCCCGGCUAACUACGUG